Molecule: long non-coding RNA, 292 nt
Filed under: Mytilus galloprovincialis (Mediterranean mussel)
Lineage: Eukaryota; Metazoa; Mollusca; Bivalvia; Mytilida; Mytilidae
Source: RNAcentral
UGAUUUAUAAGGGAGCUACCAUUUGAUUUUUAUGGGGGGGCUAGGAUGAAAAAUUUUGUCCUGCAUUUUUUUUUAGUUGUAAUGUCUGUCCUGCCUUUUUAUUUUUCACUCUAUUCGGUCCUGCCUUUUUUUUUAUUAGUUUAUCCUGACUUUUUUUACCUAAAUUGCAUCCUGCCUUUUUUUUUUGCAAAGUGUCUCAUCCUGCCUUUUUUUUACUCAAAACUCCUGUCCUGCCUAUUUUUUUCAAAUUUCAUCCCAGCCCCCCCAUAAAAAUCAAAUGGUAGCUCCCUUA